UCCCUGGUGGCUCAGAGGGUAAAGUGUCUGCCUUCAAAGCAGGAAACCCAGGUUCGAUUCCUGGGUUGGGAA
This 72-nucleotide transfer RNA is filed under the name Ovis aries (sheep). It matches the Rfam family "tRNA". Rfam says of the family: Transfer RNA (tRNA) molecules are approximately 80 nucleotides in length. Their secondary structure includes four short double-helical elements and three loops (D, anti-codon, and T loops). The record is from Rfam by way of RNAcentral. Lineage: Eukaryota; Metazoa; Chordata; Mammalia; Artiodactyla; Bovidae.